Molecule: long non-coding RNA, 108 nt
Organism: Etheostoma spectabile (orangethroat darter)
Lineage: Eukaryota; Metazoa; Chordata; Actinopteri; Perciformes; Percidae
Exons: 3
Source: RefSeq, a predicted model, not a curated record
GGUUCAUGUCCCCUGUGUCACUGAAACGUGCAUUUUAAACCCCACCCACGAUCUUUUCCUAUACCUAACUGUCCCAUUCUUGUGCCGCAUAUCAGUCAGUAUACGUCC